Long non-coding RNA from Cyprinus carpio carpio, 2911 nucleotides. Lineage: Eukaryota; Metazoa; Chordata; Actinopteri; Cypriniformes; Cyprinidae. The record is from Ensembl.
UCGCUAUUGAAAUCAACAUGCCGCUGUGGUUCAGAAGUCAAACGGAGGUCAUCCUUUAUAUCCCCCCGCAGCAAUCUGCGACCAGGGACAAGUCAGCAGAGAACCCUGCCAUUUCCACUCCUGACAACUGCCUCAAUGUUACAAGACUAUCGGGAAUGGCUGUUUGGACUCUCAUUCUGACGGCACCCAUUCACUGCAGAAGAUCCACUGGUGAGCAAGUGAGGUAUGCUACAUUUCUCCAAAUCUGUUCAGAGGAAGAAACAAACUCACUACAUCUUGAAUGGCUUGGAGGUGAGAACCUUUUUUAGCAAAUCUUAAUUUCUGAUUGAACUAUUCCUUUAAAUUAAUUUGCUGAGCAAAGAAAGAGCAAACUCCUGGCCUGGAAUGUUUCCCAUAUAAGAAAAUUCAGAAAUUAGAUCUUCUAAAUACACUAAUUGUUUCUCAGAUUAGAUAAAAAAUUUCAUGCAAGUCACCAAAUGACCUGAACUUCCACAUUAAAUGUAUAUACUCUUACAGUAUACCAGAAAUUGUAUAAUUUUUAUUAUUAUUCUAAAGAAUGUAAAGAGAAACAUCUAAGACAAAGUUGAUAAUUAAAAUGUAUUUGAAAACUCAAUUACAUCAACAUUUUUUCCUGAAAGGAAUUUAAGUGUUACGUGUCUGAUUGACCUGCUUUGGUGUCUAAAAUGCAAAAAAAAAAAAAAAAAAAAAUUUAAAUAAAUAAAUAAUAGAUAAGAGGCCUAAGAGGUAAAGCAGAACACGUGUAGUUGUUUGUUGUGCUUGGCAGGUCCAUUCUCGCGGGCUCUUCACGUGUUGAGACUGGAUUAACUGUGUUUGUUGGAUGUGUUGAUGAAGUGGAAAUGGUGAUACUGAGUAAGUUUCUUUAGUCCACCUGACUGCACAUUAAUCCUGUUCUCAAGUUCUUUACAGGUGGAAACUCAAAACACAAGUGAUGCCUCAUUGGAAAGGCAUCUGGCACAAUGACCAUAAUCCUUGCUGUGGCCGUACAGUAUCUAACAUGUCAAACUAACUACACCACCAGUCAAACGUUUGGACACACCUACAGUACACAUUCAACCACAUUCAUCACAUUCAAAAAUAGUAAAGUCAUCGAAACCAAAUGCCAUUCCAUUUGUCUAGAUUCCUGCUACACUCUUAAGCAACUUCUCAACCAACUUUUAAAACAGUGUUGAAGGAGUUUUGUCAUGUUUGCUUUUGUUUGCAAUUUUCUAAUUAAAUUUCAGUCAUGUAAAGAGCUUGAUAUGUCUGGUGGUGUACAGCUCAGGCCUAAAUGAACGUUUUAUUGACAUGUAUUAGACUUUUAAAUGAGCAGUGCACACUUUUUAAGCAUUAGAAGCACAAAUUGCAUGGGAUUUCAUGUUUUUGGGUCUUGUGAGAAUGAAUAGAUAUUUUUAAUAAACUGCUUUCUAAAAUAAAAUUAAGCUACCCUUAAAAAAUGAUCUAUUUCUAAAUACAUCAAAUGUACAAAAUGAAAAAUCAAAUAACCUUAAAAUGGUGAUUUUGGCCCGUCACAUCUCAGUGGUCUUGACAUUCUAUAUUACUUUUUAUAUUAAAAAAAUUAAAUAAUAAAAUUAAAAUAAUAAAUAAUAAUAAAUAAAAUAACAAUAAAAAAAAUAUUGUUAUUAUUAUCAUCUGUUGAUUUGACAGUGCAUAACAGUGAAAAUAUGAUAUUGGGAAAAUAAUUUUAAUUAUAAAUGUAAAUUCUUAUUCCUAAAAAACACACCUCUAAUACUUGCACUCUCUAUUCUAUUUAUAUUCUAACUACUUGUCUUCUUUAUAAAAGAGAGAGCCUCUGACACUAGCAUACCCAUUCUUUUUCUAUUCUAUCUUCUUGUUUUCUAUUUAAUUAUUAUAAAACAUGACCCUCUAACACUAGCAUUCUCUAUUCUUUUUUUUGUCUUGUUUUAUUUUUAUUUUAUUAUUUUAUUUUAUUUUAUUUUUUUAAAAACCUCUAACACUAGCGUUCCCUUUUGUUUUUUUAUUCUAUCUACUUGUUUUUCUUUUUAUUUAUAAAAAAUAAAAAAUAAAUAAAAAGCCUUUCUACAUGUACUGCGUUAGGCUAACUGAGACUUGUCCCACCUUUUGUUAGUUUUGAUUGCUUUUAUCGUCCUCAUUUGUAAGUCCCUUUGGAUAAAAGAAUCUGUGGCCUAAUGGUUAGAGAAGCACGUCAGACAUUAAAGAUACUGUGAGAGAGUUAGAGCACUCAUUAACUCACGCCAAGACUCCUCGAUCCCCCCCCUUAACAAAAAUAAUGUCUUGUGUUUGGUCUACAUUCAGGGCAAUAGUUUGCAGCAAUUUGCCAGACAUUACAGAGAUUUUUUUUAUACACAGUAACUUUAUACCACUCUCUGAUUGUGUCCGCUCCCAGUAGAAAUCCCCACUCCAAGAUGAGGUGAGGGAAACUGAACUUGAAAUCAUUUUAGAAGAGUAGACCACUAUUAAAUAAUUUACACGUUUGAUUUAACUGAGGUUCUCGAAAAUGUAGUCAGUCUGUUUUCAAGCAACUUUAGCAAAGAAAAUAUUGUUUUUACUUUCUGUCUUUCACUUUUUCCACAGCCAUAAUAAAAUCUUGAAUCUCUUCCAGGAUUAAUACAAGUUACAGGAAUGGUUCUUCCAAAAAUGAGUAAUCUUAAAAAAGGCUACACAAAUUUUGAAAUAAAACUAGUUAACAUUCAGUGAUAGAAUUAUGCUUGUCUGAGCACCAUAUACAGCCUAAAUCCAGUAAUCAGUGUUAUUUUAGUAUUAUUUAUAUACUAUUGCAGUAUUUAUAAACAGUAUCUUUAGUCAUUUUUUGUGCUUGUCAUUUUAUUAUUAUAAAUAUAAAUCCCUAUAUAUCUUUAUAAAUAUCCUGUAUUGCUAUAUUACAGUUUUUGUUUAGAUAAUUUUAGUACUU